GAGGGAUCAACGUUAAUCGGAAUUACUGGGCGUAAAGCGCGCGUAGGCGGUUUUUUAAGUGGGAUGUGAAAGCCCCGGGCUUAACCUGGGAACUGCAUUCCAAACUGGAGAACUAGAGUACGAUAGAGGGGGGUAGAAUUCAGAGUGUAGCGGUGAAAUGCGUAGAUAUUCUGAGGAAUACCGGUGGCGAAGGCGGCCCCCUGGAUUGAUACUGACACUGAGGUGCGAAAGCGUGGGGAGCAAACAGGAUUAGAUACCCUGGUAGUCCACGCCGUAAACGAUGUCUACUAGCCGUUGGGAGGCUUGACCUCUUAGUGGCGCAGCUAACGCGAUAAGUAGACCGCCUGGGGAGUACGGUCGCAAGAUUAAAACUCAAAUGAAUUGACGGGGGCCCGCACAAGCGGUGGAGCAUGUGGUUUAAUUCGAUGCAACGCGAAAAACCUUACCAGGCCUUGACAUCCUGAGAAUUCGGUAGAGAUACCUUAGUGCCUUCGGGAACUCAGUGACAGGUGUUGCAUGGCUGUCGUCAGCUCGUGUCGUGAGAUGUUGGGUUAAGUCCCGUAACGAGCGCAACCCUUAUCCUUAUUUGCCAGCACUUCGGGUGGGAACUUUAAGGAGACUGCCGGUGUCAAACCGGAGGAAGGAGAGGAUGACGUCAAGUCAUCAUGGCCCUUACGGCCUGGGCUACACACGUGCUACAAUGGACAGUACAGAGGGCCGCAAUACCGCGAGGUGGAGCAAAUCCCAGAAAACUGUUCGUAGUCCGGAUCGGAGUCUGCAACUCGACUCCGUGAAGUCGGAAUCGCUAGUAAUCGCGAAUCAGCAUGUCGCGGUGAAUACGUUCCCGGGCCUUGUACACACCGCCCGUCACGUCAUGGGAGUGGGCUGCAAAAGAAGUGACUAGUCUAACCUUCGGGAGGACGGUCACCACUUUGUGGUUCAUGACUGGGAUGAAGUCGUAACAAGGUAGCCGUAGGGGAACCUGCGGCUGGAUCACCUCCUUAACUUAUGGUAUUCACUGAUAAGUACUCACAACCUAUUACAUGUUUCCGAUUUUGAUCAGUGAUCAGAAGUCAGAAGACCCGACAGUUUACGUUUUACUGUUAUGAGAUUAAGUUUUACUCAUCGUCUUCUGACUUCUGGUAUUUGAUACCAGAGAAUCUACUGUUAGUAGUCCUAACAUUAGCUCUUUAAAAAAGUAGAAAGUGAUAAAGAAGUCUGUAAAGACAUCCGCAAAUUAGAUUUUGUUUUUGAGUUUAACUGGUGUACCUCAAACGCACAUCCGUUAGACGCUAGAUAGAACAGAGUCACAUUUGUAGAAAUUAUAUAUGUACGAAUAUUUCAAGCGUAUUUAUCCGGUGCAUAUAACUUACGUUUAGGGUGCAAGCCUUAAGCAGCACAACGAUUAGUGUGUUCAAGUUAUAUGAUCAAGUGAAUAAGCGCAUAUGGUGGAUGCCUAGGCAGUUGGAGGCGAUGAAGGACGUUGUAGUCUGCGAAAAGCUCGGGGGAGCUGACAAACAAGUGUUAUAUCCCGAGAUGU
This 1540-nucleotide small RNA is filed under the name uncultured Arctic sea ice bacterium. RNAcentral describes it as "bacterial SSU rRNA". The stretch from base 1 to 1004 matches the Rfam family "Bacterial small subunit ribosomal RNA", at positions 529 to 1533 of the family's 1533-position model. The record is from RNAcentral.